GCCGACGUAGCUCAGGUGGUAGAGCGGCCGGCUCUUAAAACCGGCAGGCCCCCGGUUCGACACCGGGCGUCGGCA
This 75-nucleotide transfer RNA is filed under the name Micromonospora lupini str. Lupac 08. It matches the Rfam family "tRNA". Rfam says of the family: Transfer RNA (tRNA) molecules are approximately 80 nucleotides in length. Their secondary structure includes four short double-helical elements and three loops (D, anti-codon, and T loops). The record is from Rfam by way of RNAcentral. Lineage: Bacteria; Bacillati; Actinomycetota; Actinomycetes; Micromonosporales; Micromonosporaceae.